This 225-nucleotide ribosomal RNA is filed under the name Ixodes scapularis (black-legged tick). RNAcentral describes it as "eukaryotic small subunit ribosomal RNA". It matches the Rfam family "Eukaryotic small subunit ribosomal RNA", at positions 1229 to 1478 of the family's 1831-position model. Lineage: Eukaryota; Metazoa; Arthropoda; Arachnida; Ixodida; Ixodidae. The record is from RNAcentral.
UUCUGGGAGGAUUGAUAGAUUGAGAGCUCUUUUUGAUUCGGCGGAUGGUGAGGCAUGGCCGUUCUUAGUUGGUAGAGCGAUUUGUCCGGUUAAUUCCGAUAACGAACGAGACUCUAGCCUAUUAAAUAGGUGCGUGGUUUACUGCACCUUGCACCCUUCUUAGAGGGACAAGUGGCUUCUAGCCGCACGAAACAGAGCUAUAACAGGUCUGUGAUGCCCUUAGAU